RNAcentral lists this RNase P RNA (414 nucleotides) under bacterium. RNAcentral's name for it is "RNase P RNA component class A". It matches the Rfam family "Bacterial RNase P class A". From Rfam's summary of the family: Ribonuclease P (RNase P) is a ubiquitous endoribonuclease, found in archaea, bacteria and eukarya as well as chloroplasts and mitochondria. Its best characterised activity is the generation of mature 5'-ends of tRNAs by cleaving the 5'-leader elements of precursor-tRNAs. Cellular RNase Ps are ribonucleoproteins. The record is from RNAcentral.
GGACUUGGUUAGACGACCGCUCUGUCAAUCUGAUGGGGAGGAAAGUCCGAACAUGCCCCAGCCCCACUUUUGUCUGACAAAACUGGGGCUGGGAAACAGGUAGCGGGUAACGCCCGUCGUCCAGCCCCACUUUUGCUGAAUCAUCGCGUAUCAGGGAAAGAGGUGGUUUUGCAAAAGUGGGGCUGGAUAGAGGUGACCACAGUGACGCUGACGGCGAAAGCCCGAGGCUCCCUUCGGGGAGAAUCUCAUCGAAAGACGAGGGUGCAACGAAUAAAUCCUUACCCGCAUGCAAGGCCGUAUCCCGCCAACAUCUGCAAAGUUGUGGCGGGGGGUGCCGCUCGAGCCUGCCAGUAAUGACAGGCCCAGAUAAAUGGUCGUCCACGACAGAAUUCGGCUUAUCGACCAAGUUCACAA